RNAcentral lists this ribosomal RNA (253 nucleotides) under uncultured bacterium. Its description in RNAcentral is "partial 16S ribosomal RNA". It matches the Rfam family "Bacterial small subunit ribosomal RNA", at positions 524 to 776 of the family's 1533-position model. The record is from RNAcentral.
UACGUAGGGUGCGAGCGUUGUCCGGAAUUAUUGGGCGUAAAGAGCUCGUAGGCGGUUUGUCGCGUCGACUGUGAAAACCCGAGGCUUAACCUCGGGCCUGCAGUCGAUACGGGCAGACUAGAGGUAUGCAGGGGAGAACGGAAUUCCUGGUGUAGCGGUGAAAUGCGCAGAUAUCAGGAGGAACACCAGUGGCGAAGGCGGUUACCUGGAGCUUUGCUGACGCUGAUGCGCGAAAGCGUGGGGAGCGAUCCGG